AGGACGAACGCUGGCGGCGUGCUUAACACAUGCAAGUCGAGCGGUAAGGCCUUUCGGGGUACACGAGCGGCGAACGGGUGAGUAACACGUGGGUGAUCUGCCCUGCACUUCGGGAUAAGCCUGGGAAACUGGGUCUAAUACCGGAUAUGACCUCCUAUCGCAUGGUGGGUGGUGGAAAGAUUUAUCGGUGCAGGAUGGGCCCGCGGCCUAUCAGCUUGUUGGUGGGUAACGCCUACCAAGGCGAACGACGGGUA
Molecule: ribosomal RNA, 254 nt
Filed under: uncultured soil bacterium
Lineage: Bacteria
Description: partial 16S ribosomal RNA
Rfam family: Bacterial small subunit ribosomal RNA
Source: RNAcentral